UACGUAGGGGGCGAGCGUUGUCCGGAUUUAUUGGGCGUAAAGAGCUCGUAGGCGGUUUGGUAAGUCGGGUGUGAAAUCUCCACGCUCAACGUGGAGGGGCCACUCGAUACUGCCAUGACUCGAGUCCGGUAGAGGAGUGUGGAAUUCCCGGUGUAGCGGUGAAAUGCGCAGAUAUCGGGAGGAACACCCGUAGCGAAGGCGGCACUCUGGGCCGGAACUGACGCUGAGGAGCGAAAGCUAGGGGAGCGAACGGG
Molecule: ribosomal RNA, 254 nt
Filed under: uncultured bacterium
Lineage: Bacteria
Description: partial 16S ribosomal RNA
Rfam family: Bacterial small subunit ribosomal RNA
Source: RNAcentral